UAUCCCCCAAACCAAGGAGGGAUGAGAACCACCGACCGGGGUUCGACAACUGGCGCAGCCAGUUGGACAGACGACGAGCUUGCGAGGAGACUGCCCGAAGGGCGAGCGCAGCGAGUCAAUCCCCCCCUCACCGCCA
This 136-nucleotide small RNA is filed under the name Salmonella enterica. RNAcentral describes it as "RtT sRNA". It matches the Rfam family "RtT RNA". From Rfam's summary of the family: This family represents a bacterial cis-regulatory element known as RtT RNA. The exact function of RtT is unknown although it is thought that it may be involved in changing the cellular response in relation to amino acid starvation. The record is from RNAcentral. Lineage: Bacteria; Pseudomonadati; Pseudomonadota; Gammaproteobacteria; Enterobacterales; Enterobacteriaceae. RNAcentral also lists the same sequence under 2 other names.